AGCAGCCGCGGUAAUUCCAGCUCCAAUAGCGUAUAUUAAAGUUGUUGCAGUUAAAAAGCUCGUAGUUGAACUUCGGGGUUUACCCAUUGGUCAGGCUUAAUUGUCUGUACUGGUGAGAUGAAUCUCUACCUUCUGAGGAACUUUCAUGCCAUUUAUUUGGUGUGAUGGGAAAUCAGGACUGUUACUUUGAAAAAAUUAGAGUGUUUAGAGCAGGCUAACGUCUGAAUACAUUAGCAUGGAAUAAUGAAAUAGGACGGACUGAUUCUAUUUCGUUGGUUUCUAGGAUCACCGUAAUGAUUAAUAGGGAUAGUUGGGGGCAUUAGUAUUCAAUUGUCAGAGGUGAAGUUCUUGGAUUUAUUGAAGACUAACUACUGCGAAAGCAUUUGCCAAGGAUGUUUUCAUUAAUCAAGAACGAAAGUUAGGGGAUCGAAGACGAUCAGAUACCGUCGUAGUCUUAACCAUAAACAAUGCCGACUAGGGAUCGGACGAAGUUAAUUUUAUAAUGACGCGUUCGGCACCUUACG
RNAcentral lists this ribosomal RNA (524 nucleotides) under uncultured Glomeromycotina. RNAcentral describes it as "SSU rRNA". It matches the Rfam family "Eukaryotic small subunit ribosomal RNA", at positions 569 to 1092 of the family's 1831-position model. The record is from RNAcentral. Lineage: Eukaryota; Fungi; Glomeromycota.